This 317-nucleotide ribosomal RNA is filed under the name uncultured eukaryote. RNAcentral's name for it is "LSU rRNA". It matches the Rfam family "Bacterial large subunit ribosomal RNA", at positions 2163 to 2479 of the family's 2925-position model. The record is from RNAcentral.
AUCGGCUUGCGGGUCGAUGUGAGCCAACGGUGAGAUACCACUCUUUGCGAGCUAGGGUUCUAACGGCCACCCGUCAUCCGGGGGCCGGACAGUACCUGGUGGGCAGUUUGACUGGGGCGGUCGCCUCCUAAAAGGUAACGGAGGCGCGCAAAGGUUUGCUCAGGCUGGUUGGAAAUCAGCCGACGAGUGUAAAAGCAGAAGCAAGCUUGACUGUGAGACCAACAAGUCGAACAGGGAGGAAACUCGGCUUUAGUGAUCCGACGGUUCUGAGUGGAAGGGCCGUCGCUCAACGGAUAAAAGUUACUCUAGGGAUAACA